GUGCUCACUUCAACAGUACAUACAUUAAAACUGGAACAAUACAGAGAAGAGUAGCAUGGCCCCUGAGCAAGGAAGACACACCAAAGGAAAGAAUCAUCUUUAU
Molecule: small nuclear RNA, 103 nt
Organism: Ochotona curzoniae (black-lipped pika)
Lineage: Eukaryota; Metazoa; Chordata; Mammalia; Lagomorpha; Ochotonidae
Source: RefSeq, a predicted model, not a curated record